RNAcentral lists this ribosomal RNA (350 nucleotides) under uncultured bacterium. Its description in RNAcentral is "bacterial SSU rRNA". It matches the Rfam family "Bacterial small subunit ribosomal RNA", at positions 29 to 406 of the family's 1533-position model. The record is from RNAcentral.
AACGAACGCUGGCGGCAGGCCUAACACAUGCAAGUCGAACGCCGUAGCAAUACGGAGUGGCAGACGGGUGAGUAACACGUGGGAACGUACCCUUCGGUUCGGGAUAACUCAGGGAAACUUGAGCUAAUACCGGAUACGUCCGAGAGGAGAAAGAUUUAUUGCCGAGGGAUCGGCCCGCGUCUGAUUAGCUUGUUGGUGAGGUAACGGCUCACCAAGGCGACGAUCAGUAGCUGGUCNGAGAGGAUGAUCAGCCACAUUGGGACUGAGACACGGCCCAAACUCCUACGGGAGGCAGCAGUGGGGAAUAUUGGACAAUGGGCGCAAGCCUGAUCCAGCCAUGCCGCGUGAGU